Molecule: ribosomal RNA, 127 nt
Filed under: Enterobacter hormaechei
Lineage: Bacteria; Pseudomonadati; Pseudomonadota; Gammaproteobacteria; Enterobacterales; Enterobacteriaceae
Description: partial 23S ribosomal RNA
Rfam family: Bacterial large subunit ribosomal RNA (bases 1-109)
Source: RNAcentral
UUUAAGUCUCCUGAAGGAACGUUGAAGACGACGACGUUGAUAGGUCGGGUGUGUAAGCGCAGCGAUGCGUUGAGCUAACCGAUACUAAUGAACCGUGAGGCUUAACCUUACAACGCCGAAGGUGUUU